RNAcentral lists this ribosomal RNA (429 nucleotides) under Pseudomonadota bacterium. Its description in RNAcentral is "Proteobacteria bacterium partial 16S ribosomal RNA". It matches the Rfam family "Bacterial small subunit ribosomal RNA", at positions 355 to 776 of the family's 1533-position model. The record is from RNAcentral. Lineage: Bacteria; Pseudomonadati; Pseudomonadota.
UGGGGAAUAUUGGACAAUGGGCGAAAGCCUGAUCCAGCCAUGCCGCGUGUGUGAAGAAGGUCUUCGGAUUGUAAAGCACUUUAAGUUGGGAGGAAGGGCAGUAAGCGAAUACCUUGCUGUUUUGACGUUACCGACAGAAUAAGCACCGGCUAACUCUGUGCCAGCAGCCGCGGUAAUACAGAGGGUGAAAGCGUUAAUCGGAAUUACUGGGCGUAAAGCGCGCGUAGGUGGUUCGUUAAGUUGAAUGUGAAAGCCCCGGGCUCAACCUGGGAACUGCAUCCAAAACUGGCGAGCUAGAGUAGGGCAGAGGGGGGUGGAAUUUCCUGUGUAGCGGUGAAAUGCGUAGAUAUAGGAAGGAACACCAGUGGCGAAGGCGACCACCUGGGCUCAUACUGACACUGAGGUGCGAACGCGUGGGGAGCAAACAGG